AGGUCGACAGACCAAAUGAGGCCACCCGUCAAAAUAAAAUAUGCCAUAGGACAAUUAGGUCAAAAGAUCAAGCGAGGCCACCUGCCAAAAAAUGCCAUAGGGCAAUAAGGUCGAUAAAUCAAAAGUAAGGCCACCCGCAAACAAAUGUCGUAGAGCAAUCGUAUCGAUCAAAGGCAAUGCACCCAUCAGACGUCCGAAAUGAAAGAAACUACGCGACACAAAAGGCCGUAGGGAAAAAAGGACGUGGAAACAAGCAACAAUGCAUCAGAUGGCAAGCCGCAGGGCAAAGGAAACACAAGCAAGAACGAACGGACAAGUCUUACAGCAAACAAAAGCAAAAAUAACGGGAAAUAGUAAAGAACAAAGCAGGGGAACAAAGCCCAAAAUAAAAAGUACGUUACAAAAUUUUUUUGCCAUCUAUUUAUCAUCUGCAUCACCCCUA
Molecule: long non-coding RNA, 442 nt
Filed under: Zostera marina
Lineage: Eukaryota; Viridiplantae; Streptophyta; Magnoliopsida; Alismatales; Zosteraceae
Description: long non-coding RNA (ZMAR_LNC005308)
Source: RNAcentral